This 496-nucleotide ribosomal RNA is filed under the name uncultured bacterium. RNAcentral's name for it is "partial 16S ribosomal RNA". It matches the Rfam family "Bacterial small subunit ribosomal RNA", at positions 28 to 506 of the family's 1533-position model. The record is from RNAcentral.
GAUGAACGCUGGCGGCGUGCCUAAUACAUGCAAGUCGAGCGAACGGACGAGAAGCUUGCUUCUCUGAUGUUAGCGGCGGACGGGUGAGUAACACGUGGAUAACCUACCUAUAAGACUGGGAUAACUUCGGGAAACCGGAGCUAAUACCGGAUAAUAUUUUGAACCGCAUGGUUCAAAAGUGAAAGACGGUCUUGCUGUCACUUAUAGAUGGAUCCGCGCUGCAUUAGCUAGUUGGUAAGGUAACGGCUUACCAAGGCAACGAUGCAUAGCCGACCUGAGAGGGGAUACGGCCCAACUGGAACAGAGACACGGUCCAGACUCCUACGGGAGGCAGGAGUAGGGAAUCUUCCGCAGGGGGAGAAGGCCUGACGGAACAACCCCGGGUGAGUGAUGGAGGUCUUCGGAUCGUAAAACUCUGUUAUUAGGAAAGAACAUAUUUGUAAGUAACUGGGCACCUCUUGGCGGUCCCUAAUCAGAAACCCACGGCUAACUACGU